This 918-nucleotide ribosomal RNA is filed under the name Staphylococcus haemolyticus. RNAcentral describes it as "bacterial SSU rRNA". It matches the Rfam family "Bacterial small subunit ribosomal RNA", at positions 54 to 949 of the family's 1533-position model. The record is from RNAcentral. Lineage: Bacteria; Bacillati; Bacillota; Bacilli; Caryophanales; Staphylococcaceae.
CAUGCAAGUCGAGCGAACAGACAAGGAGCUUGCUCCUUUGACGUUAGCGGCGGACGGGUGAGUAACACGUGGGUAACCUACCUAUAAGACUGGGAUAACUUCGGGAAACCGGAGCUAAUACCGGAUAAUAUUUCGAACCGCAUGGUUCGAAAGUGAAAGAUGGUUUUGCUAUCACUUAUAGAUGGACCCGCGCCGUAUUAGCUAGUUGGUAAGGUAACGGCUUACCAAGGCGACGAUACGUAGCCGACCUGAGAGGGUGAUCGGCCACACUGGAACUGAGACACGGUCCAGACUCCUACGGGAGGCAGCAGUAGGGAAUCUUCCGCAAUGGGCGAAAGCCUGACGGAGCAACGCCGCGUGAGUGAUGAAGGUCUUCGGAUCGUAAAACUCUGUUAUUAGGGAAGAACAUACGUGUAAGUAACUGUGCACGUCUUGACGGUACCUAAUCAGAAAGCCACGGCUAACUACGUGCCAGCAGCCGCGGUAAUACGUAGGUGGCAAGCGUUAUCCGGAAUUAUUGGGCGUAAAGCGCGCGUAGGCGGUUUUUUAAGUCUGAUGUGAAAGCCCACGGCUCAACCGUGGAGGGUCAUUGGAAACUGGAAAACUUGAGUGCAGAAGAGGAAAGUGGAAUUCCAUGUGUAGCGGUGAAAUGCGCAGAGAUAUGGAGGAACACCAGUGGCGAAGGCGACUUUCUGGUCUGUAACUGACGCUGAUGUGCGAAAGCGUGGGGAUCAAACAGGAUUAGAUACCCCUGGUAGUCCACGCCGUAAACGAUGAGUGCUAAGUGUUAGGGGGUUUCCGCCCCUUAGUGCUGCAGCUAACGCAUUAAGCACUCCGCCUGGGGAGUACGACCGCAAGGUUGAAACUCAAAGGAAUUUGACGGGGACCCGCACAAGCGGUGGGAGCAUGGUGGUUUAA